RNAcentral lists this ribosomal RNA (482 nucleotides) under uncultured bacterium. RNAcentral's name for it is "partial 16S ribosomal RNA". It matches the Rfam family "Bacterial small subunit ribosomal RNA", at positions 30 to 507 of the family's 1533-position model. The record is from RNAcentral.
AUUGAACGCUGGCGGCAUGCUUUACACAUGCAAGUCGAACGGUAACAGCACUUCGGUGGCUGACGAGUGGCGAACGGGUGAGUAAUACAUCGGAACGUGCCUAGUAGUGGGGGAUAACUACUCGAAAGAGUAGCUAAUACCGCAUGAGAUCUAAGGAUGAAAGCAGGGGACCUUCGGGCCUUGCGCUACUAGAGCGGCUGAUGGCAGAUUAGGUAGUUGGUGGGAUAAAAGCUUACCAAGCCGACGAUCUGUAGCUGGUCUGAGCGGACGACCAGCCACACUGGAACUGAGACACGGCCCAGACUCCUACGGGAGGCAGCAGUGGGGAAUUUUGGACAAUGGGCGCAAGCCUGAUCCAGCAAUGCCGCGUGCAGGAUGAAGGCCUUCGGGUUGUAAACUGCUUUUGUACGGAACGAAAAGCCCUCUUCUAAUACAGGGGGGUCAUGACGGUACCGUAAGAAUAAGCACCGGCUAACUACGUG